This is a long non-coding RNA of Galeopterus variegatus (Sunda flying lemur), 168 nucleotides long. RefSeq lists it as uncharacterized. The transcript has 2 exons. The record is from RefSeq and is a predicted model, not a curated record. Lineage: Eukaryota; Metazoa; Chordata; Mammalia; Dermoptera; Cynocephalidae.
UAUGUGUGUGUAUUAUUGACAGUUAACGUUUUUCCUAACUGUCAAUAAAAGAUAUUACUGCUAAUUUUUGCUUGAAAUAUCUGAAGAAUAUGCACCAAGCAAUCUUUAGGUUAAAAUUAAGGAUGAUUUCCUUGUGACCGUAACGUUAAGAAUUUUAAUCCUUGGGGG